UGACCGAACCAGAACCAUCGAUUCUCCU
This 28-nucleotide non-coding RNA is filed under the name Mus musculus (house mouse). Lineage: Eukaryota; Metazoa; Chordata; Mammalia; Rodentia; Muridae. The record is from RNAcentral.